Molecule: ribosomal RNA, 468 nt
Filed under: uncultured bacterium
Lineage: Bacteria
Description: partial 16S ribosomal RNA
Rfam family: Bacterial small subunit ribosomal RNA
Source: RNAcentral
GACGAACGCUGGCGGCGUGCUUAACACAUGCCAGUCGAACGGAAAGGCCCUGCUUUUGUGUGUUGCUCGUUUGGCGCACGGGUGAGUAACACGUGAGUAACCUGCCCUUGACUUUGGGAUAACUUCAGGAAACUGCGGCUCAUAUCGGAUAUGAGCUCCUGCUGCAUGUUGGGCGUUGGAAAGUUUCGGCGGUUGGGGAUGGACUCGCGGCUUAUCAGCUUGUUGGUGUGGUAGUGGCUUACCAAGCCUUUGACGGGUAGCCGGCCUGAGAGGGUGACCGGGGACAUGGGGACUGAGAGAGGGCGCAGAAGGGUACGGGAGGCAGUAGGGGGGAAUAUGGCAGAAUGGGGGGAAGCCGGAGGCAGAAGCGCUGGGUGCGGGAUGACGGCCUACGAGGUGUAAACCGAUGUCGAAUGUGACGAAGAGUGAGUGACGGUAAUGGGUAAAGAAGCACCGGCUAACUACGUG